CGAGAGAGAGCUUGCUUUCUCAGCGAGUGGCGAACGGGUGAGUAACGCGUGAGGAACCUGCCUCAAAGAGGGGGACAACAGUUGGAAACGACUGCUAAUACCGCAUAAGCCCACAGGUCGGCAUCGACCAGAGGGAAAAGGAGCAAUCCGCUUUGAGAUGGCCUCGCGUCCGAUUAGCUAGUUGGUGAGGUAACGGCUCACCAAGGCGACGAUCGGUAGCCGGACUGAGAGGUUGAACGGCCACAUUGGGACUGAGACACGGCCCAGACUCCUACGGGAGGCAGCAGUGGGGAAUAUUGCACAAUGGGGGGAACCCUGAUGCAGCGACGCCGCGUGGAGGAAGAAGGUCUUCGGAUUGUAAACUCCUGUUGUUGAGGAAGAUAAUGACGGUACUCAACAAGGAAGUGACGGCUAACUACGUGCCAGCAGCCGCGGUAAAACGUAGGUCACAAGCGUUGUCCGGAAUUACUGGGUGUAAAGGGAGCGCAGGCGGGAAGACAAGUUGGAAGUGAAAUCUAUGGGCUCAACCCAUAAACUGCUUUCAAAACUGUUUUUCUUGAGUAGUGCAGAGGUAGGCGGAAUUCCCGGUGUAGCGGUGGAAUGCGUAGAUAUCGGGAGGAACACCAGUGGCGAAGGCGGCCUACUGGGCACCAACUGACGCUGAGGCUCGAAAGUGUGGGUAGCAAACAGGAUUAGAUACCCUGGUAGUCCACACCGUAAACGAUGAUUACUAGGUGUUGGAGGAUUGACCCCUUCAGUGCCGCAGUUAACACAAUAAGUAAUCCACCUGGGGAGUACGACCGCAAGGUUGAAACUCAAAGGAAUUGACGGGGGCC
RNAcentral lists this ribosomal RNA (836 nucleotides) under uncultured bacterium. RNAcentral describes it as "bacterial SSU rRNA". It matches the Rfam family "Bacterial small subunit ribosomal RNA", at positions 70 to 921 of the family's 1533-position model. The record is from RNAcentral.